UACAGAGGUCUCAAGCGUUGUUCGGAUUCAUUGGGCGUAAAGGGUGUGUAGGUGGCGCCGUAAGUCGGGUGUGAAAUUUCGGAGCUUAACUCCGAAACUGCAUUCGAUACUGCGGUGCUUGAGGACUGGAGAGGAGACUGGAAUUCAUGGUGUAGCAGUGAAAUGCGUAGAGAUCAUGAGGAAGACCAGUGGCGAAGGCGGGUCUCUGGGCCGAAACUGACGCUGAGGAGCGAAAGCGUGGGGAGCGAACAGG
This 253-nucleotide ribosomal RNA is filed under the name uncultured bacterium. RNAcentral describes it as "partial 16S ribosomal RNA". It matches the Rfam family "Bacterial small subunit ribosomal RNA", at positions 524 to 776 of the family's 1533-position model. The record is from RNAcentral.